GGGAAACUACGGCUAAUACCGCAUGAUCCCUGAGGGGCAAAGGCGAGAGUCGCCUGAGGAGGAGCCUGCGUCUGAUUAGGUAGUUGGUGGGGUAAAGGCCUACCCAAGCCUACGAUCAGUAGCUGGUCUGAGAGGAUGAUCAGCCACAUUGGGACUGAGACACGGCCCAAACGUCCUACGGGAGGGCAGCAGUGGGGAAUAUUGGACAAUGGGCGCAAGCCUGAUCCAGCAAUGCCGCGUGGGUGAAGAAGGUCUUCGGAUUGUAAAGCCCUUUUGGCGGGGACGAUGAUGACGGUACCCGCAGAAUAAGCUCCGGCUAACUUCGUG
This 327-nucleotide ribosomal RNA is filed under the name uncultured bacterium. RNAcentral's name for it is "bacterial SSU rRNA". It matches the Rfam family "Bacterial small subunit ribosomal RNA", at positions 151 to 507 of the family's 1533-position model. The record is from RNAcentral.